This 731-nucleotide ribosomal RNA is filed under the name uncultured bacterium. RNAcentral describes it as "bacterial SSU rRNA". It matches the Rfam family "Bacterial small subunit ribosomal RNA", at positions 771 to 1501 of the family's 1533-position model. The record is from RNAcentral.
AACAGGAUUAGAUACCCUGGUAGUCCACGCUGUAAACGAUGUCGACUUGGAGGUUGUGCCCUUGAGGCGUGGCUUCCGGAGCUAACGCGUUAAGUCGACCGCCUGGGGAGUACGGCCGCAAGGUUAAAACUCAAAUGAAUUGACGGGGGCCCGCACAAGCGGUGGAGCAUGUGGUUUAAUUCGAUGCAACGCGAAGAACCUUACCUACUCUUGACAUCCAGAGAAUUUGCUAGAGAUAGCUUAGUGCCUUCGGGAACUCUGAGACAGGUGCUGCAUGGCUGUCGUCAGCUCGUGUUGUGAAAUGUUGGGUUAAGUCCCGCAACGAGCGCAACCCUUAUCCUUUGUUGCCAGCACGUAAUGGUGGGAACUCAAAGGAGACUGCCGGUGAUAAACCGGAGGAAGGUGGGGAUGACGUCAAGUCAUCAUGGCCCUUACGAGUAGGGCUACACACGUGCUACAAUGGCAUAUACAAAGAGAAGCGAACUCGCGAGAGCAAGCGGACCUCAUAAAGUAUGUCGUAGUCCGGAUCGGAGUCUGCAACUCGACUCCAUGAAGUCGGAAUCGCUAGUAAUCGUAGAUCAGAAUGCUACGGUGAAUACGUUCCCGGGCCUUGUACACACCGCCCGUCACACCAUGGGAGUGGGUUGCAAAAGAAGUAGGUAGCUUAACCUUCGGGAGGGCGCUUACCACUUUGUGAUUCAUGACUGGGGUGAAGUCGUAACAAGGUAACC